GUGCUUGCUUUGGCAACAACAUAAACUAAAGUUGGAAUGAUAUAGGGAUUAGCAUAGCCCCUGCACAAGGAUGAUGCACAAAUUUGUGAAGUGUUCCAUAUUUUU
Gorilla gorilla gorilla (western lowland gorilla) is the source of this 105-nucleotide small nuclear RNA. NCBI's taxonomy places the organism in Eukaryota, Metazoa, Chordata, Mammalia, Primates, Hominidae. The record is from Ensembl.